Molecule: transfer RNA, 73 nt
Filed under: Felis catus (domestic cat)
Lineage: Eukaryota; Metazoa; Chordata; Mammalia; Carnivora; Felidae
Also listed under: 2 other names
Rfam family: tRNA
About the family: Transfer RNA (tRNA) molecules are approximately 80 nucleotides in length. Their secondary structure includes four short double-helical elements and three loops (D, anti-codon, and T loops). Further hydrogen bonds mediate the characteristic L-shaped molecular structure. tRNAs have two regions of fundamental functional importance: the anti-codon, which is responsible for specific mRNA codon recognition, and the 3' end, to which the tRNAs corresponding amino acid is attached (by aminoacyl-tRNA synthetases). tRNAs cope with the degeneracy of the genetic code in two manners: having more than one tRNA (with a specific anti-codon) for a particular amino acid; and 'wobble' base-pairing, i.e. permitting non-standard base-pairing at the 3rd anti-codon position.
Source: Rfam by way of RNAcentral
GCCCAGCCGGCUCUGUCAGUACAGCAUGUGACUCUUGAUCUUAGGGUUGUGGGUUCGAGCCCCACGUUGGAUG